GAUGAACGCUGGCGGCGUGCCUAAUACAUGCAAGUCGAGCGAACAGAUGAGGAGCUUGCUCCUCUGACGUUAGCGGCGGACGGGUGAGUAACACGUGGAUAACCUACCUAUAAGACUGGGAUAACUUCGGGAAACCGGAGCUAAUACCGGAUAAUAUAUUGAACCGCAUGGUUCAAUAGUGAAAGACGGUUUUGCUGUCACUUAUAGAUGGAUCCGCGCCGCAUUAGCUAGUUGGUAAGGUAACGGCUUACCAAGGCGACGAUGCGUAGCCGACCUGAGAGGGUGAUCGGCCACACUGGAACUGAGACACGGUCCAGACUCCUACGGGAGGCAGCAGUAGGGAAUCUUCCGCAAUGGGCGAAAGCCUGACGGAGCAACGCCGCGUGAGUGAUGAAGGUCUUCGGAUCGUAAAACUCUGUUAUUAGGGAAGAACAAAUGUGUAAGUAACUAUGCACGUCUUGACGGUACCUAAGCAGAAAGCCACGGCUAACUACGUG
RNAcentral lists this ribosomal RNA (497 nucleotides) under uncultured bacterium. Its description in RNAcentral is "partial 16S ribosomal RNA". It matches the Rfam family "Bacterial small subunit ribosomal RNA", at positions 28 to 507 of the family's 1533-position model. The record is from RNAcentral.